This 299-nucleotide unclassified non-coding RNA is filed under the name uncultured fungus. RNAcentral describes it as "partial contains small subunit ribosomal RNA, internal transcribed spacer 1, and 5.8S ribosomal RNA". The stretch from base 1 to 73 matches the Rfam family "Eukaryotic small subunit ribosomal RNA", at positions 1759 to 1831 of the family's 1831-position model. The record is from RNAcentral. Lineage: Eukaryota; Fungi.
UCAAACUUGGUCAUUUAGAGGAAGUAAAAGUCGUAACAAGGUCUCCGUUGGUGAACCAGCGGAGGGAUCAUUAAAGAGUUUAACCGCUCCCAACCCUAUGUGAACUUACCGUUUGUUGCCUCGGCAGGUCGCGCCUACCCUGUGAGGUCCUACCCCGUAGGACCUUACCCGGUUGGCGCGGGUAGUCCUGCCAGAGGCCCACGAAAUUCUGUUUACUGUGUCACUCUGAAUCGAUAACUAAAUAAGUUAAAACUUUCAACAACGGAUCUCUUGGUUCUGGCAUCGAUGAAGAACGCAGC